ACAGGUGAGUCAUCGAAUCUUUGAACGCACCUUGCGCCUCUUGGUAUUCCGAGAGGCAUGCCUGUUUGAGUGUCAUGAAUCAUCAAUCCCAUGGGUUUUCUGACCUGUGUGGACUUGGAACUGGGCGUCUGCCUCCUAAGGCUCGCCUCAAAUGACUCAGUGGGAUCUCUGACCUACGCCUGACGUGAUAAGUUUCGUCUCGGCCGGUCUAGAGCCCCGCUCACAACGCCCCAUUUUUUGACAUUGACCUCAAAUCAGGUAGGGCUACCCGCUGAACUUAAGCAUAUCAAUAAGCGGAGG
Molecule: unclassified non-coding RNA, 300 nt
Filed under: uncultured Kockovaella
Lineage: Eukaryota; Fungi; Basidiomycota; Tremellomycetes; Tremellales; Cuniculitremaceae
Description: sequence contains 5.8S rRNA gene, ITS2
Rfam family: 5.8S ribosomal RNA (bases 1-75)
Source: RNAcentral